UACGAAGGGGGCUAGCGUUGUUCGGAAUCACUGGGCGUAAAGGGCGCGUAGGCGGCUUUAUAAGUCGGGGGUGAAAGCCUGUGGCUCAACCACAGAAUUGCCUUCGAUACUGUAGAGCUUGAGACCGGAAGAGGUUAGUGGAACUGCGAGUGUAGAGGUGAAAUUCGUAGAUAUUCGCAAGAACACCAGUGGCGAAGGCGGCUCACUGGGUCAUUACUGACGCUGAGGCACGGAAAGCGUGGGGAGCAAACAGGG
RNAcentral lists this ribosomal RNA (255 nucleotides) under uncultured bacterium. RNAcentral describes it as "partial 16S ribosomal RNA". It matches the Rfam family "Bacterial small subunit ribosomal RNA", at positions 524 to 777 of the family's 1533-position model. The record is from RNAcentral.